UACGUAGGGGGCAAGCGUUAUCCGGAUUUACUGGGUGUAAAGGGAGCGUAGACGGUGAUGCAAGUCAGAAGUGAAAGCCCGGGGCUCAACUCCGGGACUGCUUUUGAAACUGUGUGACUGGAGUGCAGGAGAGGUAAGCGGAAUUCCUGGUGUAGCGGUGAAAUGCGUAGAUAUCAGGAGGAACACCAGUGGCGAAGGCAGCCUGCCGCAGCGUUACUGACGCUGAAGCUCGAAAGCGCGGGUAUCGAACAGG
Molecule: ribosomal RNA, 253 nt
Filed under: uncultured Eubacteriales bacterium
Lineage: Bacteria; Bacillati; Bacillota; Clostridia; Eubacteriales
Description: uncultured Clostridiales bacterium partial 16S ribosomal RNA
Rfam family: Bacterial small subunit ribosomal RNA
Source: RNAcentral